CGAAAUAAACGGUUAAAAAAAAAGAAAUCGUAUAGAAGGCCAGAGAAUGUAAAGUUUGCUGUUGGGAUGAUAGUUAAACAUGGUAAAGAGGUGGGUGUGAUCGUCGGAUGGGACAGAUAUGAUAUUGAUAGAAGUGAUACAAUCUCUUUAGACGUUACACAGAACUUAGACAAUACAUGGAACGUGAAUCGAUAUGCAAUGUUGUUGUAUCAAUUUUUUCGUGAAUUUACAGCAACAAUUAAAUUUGUACAUCAACAAAUAUAUUACAUUAUUCUCACUGAAGAUAAUAGACUUCGUAAAGUAGAAGAAGCAAAUUACGUGCAAAUGGAUAUCAAAUUGCCAAAAAUAUGCCAGUGAUGUGAUAGUGACAGCCAUAUGCUUGUGGAAUAUGCUCAUCUUGCAUGCUUAUAACGAGAUGAAAUUGCGUGCAAAGUGUGCUAGCAUUUGCUAUCACUAUGACGACGCACUAGGAUAAGGUUUUGCUUGCGCAAUA
Non-coding RNA from Nylanderia fulva, 493 nucleotides. Lineage: Eukaryota; Metazoa; Arthropoda; Insecta; Hymenoptera; Formicidae. The record is from RefSeq and is a predicted model, not a curated record.